Molecule: ribosomal RNA, 749 nt
Filed under: uncultured Streptococcaceae bacterium
Lineage: Bacteria; Bacillati; Bacillota; Bacilli; Lactobacillales; Streptococcaceae
Description: bacterial SSU rRNA
Rfam family: Bacterial small subunit ribosomal RNA
Source: RNAcentral
CUGGCGGCGUGCCUAAUACAUGCAAGUAGAACGCUGAAGCUUGGUGCUUGCACCGAGCGGAUGAGUUGCGAACGGGUGAGUAACGCGUAGGUAACCUGCCUCUUAGCGGGGGAUAACUAUUGGAAACGACAGCUAAUACCGCAUAAAAGUCGACAUUGCAUGAUGUUGACUUGAAAGGUGCAAUUGCAUCACUAAGAGAUGGACCUGCGUUGUAUUAGCUAGUUGGUGAGGUAACGGCUCACCAAGGCGACGAUACAUAGCCGACCUGAGAGGGUGAUCGGCCACACUGGGACUGAGACACGGCCCAGACUCCUACGGGAGGCAGCAGUAGGGAAUCUUCGGCAAUGGGGGCAACCCUGACCGAGCAACGCCGCGUGAGUGAAGAAGGUUUUCGGAUCGUAAAGCUCUGUUGUAAGAGAAGAACGAGUGUGAGAGUGGAAAGUUCACACUGUGACGGUAACUUACCAGAAAGGGACGGCUAACUACGUGCCAGCAGCCGCGGUAAUACGUAGGUCCCGAGCGUUAUCCGGAUUUAUUGGGCGUAAAGCGAGCGCAGGCGGUUAGAUAAGUCUGAAGUUAAAGGCUGUGGCUUAACCAUAGUACGCUUUGGAAACUGUUUAACUUGAGUGCAGAAGGGGAGAGUGGAAUUCCAUGUGUAGCGGUGAAAUGCGUAGAUAUAUGGAGGAACACCGGUGGCGAAAGCGGCUCUCUGGUCUGUAACUGACGCUGAGGCUCGAAAGCGUGGGGAG